Triticum dicoccoides is the source of this 717-nucleotide long non-coding RNA. RefSeq lists it as uncharacterized. The transcript is spliced from 3 exons. NCBI's taxonomy places the organism in Eukaryota, Viridiplantae, Streptophyta, Magnoliopsida, Poales, Poaceae. The record is from RefSeq and is a predicted model, not a curated record.
GCCGCUAGCCCACUGUCUACUCCUCGUGUUCCCCGCCGAGCCAAUCACCUUCGUUCCUUGUUUUCGGAUCCACUCCACCAACCAACGAAACCACCACCCACUCGUUUUGGACCGCUAGAUCACAGAUCCGACGGCCUAGGAGGCUCCCCAACGCCCCUGCGUUCGUCCCUGCCACCCGGCCGCAGCUCCCUCGCCCCCGCUCGAUCUGGCCGCUGAGAUCCCGAGCGCCUCGACCCCAAGCUCCAUCACCCGCCGGUGGCCUUAGAUGGAGACCUCCAUGGCUGCUCCAGCUAGCUCCGUCGCUGUCGUUUCGUGCCAGGAAUGGGUGGAUCCAGGCUCCCCGCACCCAGAUCGGACACUGCCACGUCAUUCCGACGCGCCGCAUCUUCGCCCUCCGGGACGGCAUCGAACAGCAAGCAGCCGCCGCCCCACACCGUUGAACGCGUCCCCCCGAACCGGUCUUCCCUCCUCGCCGUUGACCGCGUCCUGCCGCGUGGGCCGCCUCCAGCGCCCUCCUGGCCGCAUCUCGCUUCCUGGCCCAGCGACUGUGGAGCUGGCCUGCUCGACCGCACCCCCUGGGCAGCCUCCACCCACAAGCACCAAGGCCCAAUCGCCCGUGCCCUGCUGCAGCAUUAGCCCACCAAAUCCGCUGGCCCAAGGCCCGCGAGAUGCAGGGCCUGAUGACUCCGUUCCAGAUGACGCGCUUAAGCUCAAGUG